UACGUAGGGCGCGAGCGUUGUCCGGAAUUAUUGGGCGUAAAGAGCUCGUAGGCGGCCUGUUGCGUCCGCUGUGAAAGCCCGGGGCUUAACUCCGGGUCUGCAUUCGAUACGGGCAGGCUAGAGUGUGGUAGGGGAGAUCGGAAUUCCUGGUGUAGCGGUGAAAUGCGCAGAUAUCAGGAGGAACACCGGUGGCGAAGGCGGAUCUCUGGGCCA
RNAcentral lists this ribosomal RNA (213 nucleotides) under uncultured prokaryote. RNAcentral describes it as "partial 16S ribosomal RNA". It matches the Rfam family "Bacterial small subunit ribosomal RNA", at positions 524 to 736 of the family's 1533-position model. The record is from RNAcentral.